RNAcentral lists this ribosomal RNA (482 nucleotides) under uncultured bacterium. RNAcentral describes it as "bacterial SSU rRNA". It matches the Rfam family "Bacterial small subunit ribosomal RNA", at positions 31 to 518 of the family's 1533-position model. The record is from RNAcentral.
GAACGCUGGCGGCGUGCUUAACACAUGCAAGUCGAACGGAGUUAAGAAGGAAGCUGCUUCAUUUAAACUUAGUGGCGGACGGGUGAGUAACGCGUGAGGAACCUGCCCUUCAGUGGGGAACAACAACUAGAAAUGGUUGCUAAUACCGCAUAAUGUCGGAGAGCCGCAUGACUUUCCGACCAAAGGAUUUAUUCGCUGAAGGAUGGCCUCGCGUCCGAUUAGGCAGUUGGUGAGGUAACGGCCCACCAAACCUACGAUCGGUAGCCGAACUGAGAGGUUGAUCGGCCACAUUGGGACUGAGACACGGCCCAGACUCCUACGGGAGGCAGCAGUGGGGAAUAUUGGGCAAUGGGGCCGAAAGCCUGACCCAGCAACGCCGCGUGAAGGAUGACGGUCUUCGGAUUGUAAACUUCUUUAAUUGGGGAAGAACAAAAUGACCUACCCAAAGAAUAAGUCACGGCUAACUACGUGCCAGCCGCCGC